Molecule: ribosomal RNA, 941 nt
Filed under: uncultured organism
Description: bacterial SSU rRNA
Rfam family: Bacterial small subunit ribosomal RNA
Source: RNAcentral
GGUAGUUGGUGAGGUAACGGCUCACCAAGCCUUAGACGGGUAGCGGGCGUGAGAGCGUGACCCGCCGCAUCGGGACUGAGACACUGCCCGGACUCCUACGGGAGGCUGCAGUAACGAAUAUUCCGCAAUGCGCGAAAGCGUGACGGAGCAAUGCCGCGUGAAGGAUGAAGCCCCUCGGGGUGUAAACUUCUGUCAGGGAAUAGGAACAAAAUGACCGUUCCCAAAGGAAGGGCCGGCUAACUUCGUGCCAAGCAGCCGCGGUAAUACGAAGGGCCCGAGCGUUGCGCGGAAUCACUGGGCUUAAAGGGUGCGUAGGCGGAACUGUAAGUACUUUGUGAAAUCCCUCGGGUCAACCGGGGAAUUGCUUGGUAUACUGCGGUUCUUGAGGGCCAAUAGGGGCAGCCGGAACUCUAGGUGGAGCGGUGAAAUGCAUAGAUAUCUAGAGGAACGCCAAAGGUGAAAGACAGGCUGCUGGGCUGGACCUGACGCUGAGGCACGAAAGCUUGGGGAGCAAACAGGAUUAGAUACCCUGGUAGUCCACGCCGUAAACGUUGUGCACUAGGUCCCGGAGGUUUGGACGCCAUCGGGGCUGGAGCAAAAGUAUUAAGUGCACCGCCUGGGGAGUACGGUCGCAAGGCUAAAACUCAAAGGAAUUGACGGGGGCUCACACAAGCGGUGGAGCAUGUGGCUUAAUUCGAAGCAACGCGAAGAACCUUAUCCUGGGUUUGACAUGUAUGGAUUAACCUCGUGAAAGCGAGGCCACGCCCUUUGGGUGGAACAUACACAGGUGCUGCAUGGCUGUCGUCAGCUCGUGCCGUGAGGUGUUAGGUUAAGUCCUUCAACGAGCGAAACCCUUGCCGUUAGUUGCCAGCGCGCCUUCGGGUGGCGGGGACUCUAGCGGGACUGCCGGUGUCAAACCGGAGGAAGGUGGGGAUGACGUC